UAUAUACAUGAACUUGCGGUUACAGCUCAACAGCUGGCCUCGGUAGCUCAGUUGGUUAGAGCGCUGCACCGGACUCGCAGGGCCGUGGGUUCAAUUCCUACCAGAGGACCUUGUGCUGCAUUUUUCGCAGUCGUUCCUGGUUAGGUCUUCAAAUGUAUAUAUUCUCACUUGGAUUACAAACCCUUACAUCCUAAUAUUAAUUCCACCAAGUGAAGUGCAAGAAUCUAA
Non-coding RNA from Paramuricea clavata, 228 nucleotides. The record is from the annotation of a GenBank genome assembly. Lineage: Eukaryota; Metazoa; Cnidaria; Anthozoa; Malacalcyonacea; Plexauridae.